This 305-nucleotide signal recognition particle RNA is filed under the name Aotus nancymaae (Ma's night monkey). Its description in RNAcentral is "Metazoan signal recognition particle RNA (ENSANAG00000010702.1)". It matches the Rfam family "Metazoan signal recognition particle RNA". From Rfam's summary of the family: The signal recognition particle (SRP) is a universally conserved ribonucleoprotein. It is involved in the co-translational targeting of proteins to membranes. Lineage: Eukaryota; Metazoa; Chordata; Mammalia; Primates; Aotidae. The record is from RNAcentral.
GCCGGGCGUGGUGGCACGUGCCUGUAGUCCCAGCUACUCGGAAGGCUGAGGUGGGAGGAUCGCUUGAGCCCAGGAGUUCUGGACUGUAGUUCACUAUGCUGAUCGGGUGUCCGCACUAAGUUCAGAAUCAAUAUGGUGACCUCCCGGGAGCGGGAGCGGAGGACCACCAGGUUGCCUAAGGAGGGGUGAACCGGCCCAGGUCGGAAAUGGAGCAGGUCAAAACUCCUGUGCUGAUCAGUAGCGGGAUCGCGCCUGUGAAUUGCCACUGCACUCCAGCCUGGGCAACAUAGCGAGACCCUGUCUCU